GAUGAACGCUAGCGGCAGGCCUAAUACAUGCAAGCCGAACGGUAAGAUUUGUAGCAAUACGAGUCCUAGAGUGGCGUAAGGGUGCGUAACACGUAUGCAAUCUGCCCGCAACUGGAGGAUAGCUCGGGGAAACCCGGAUUAACCCUCCAUAAGAUCACACAAUGGCAUCAAAGAGUGAUUAAAUCUCCGGAGGUUGCGGAUGAGCAUGCGGUUGAUUAGCUAGUUGGUAGUGUAACGGACUACCAAGGCAAUGAUCAAUAGGGGGAACUGAGAGGUUG
Molecule: ribosomal RNA, 278 nt
Filed under: uncultured bacterium
Lineage: Bacteria
Description: partial 16S ribosomal RNA
Rfam family: Bacterial small subunit ribosomal RNA
Source: RNAcentral